Fragaria vesca subsp. vesca is the source of this 1002-nucleotide RNA transcript. RefSeq lists it as uncharacterized. The transcript has 3 exons. Lineage: Eukaryota; Viridiplantae; Streptophyta; Magnoliopsida; Rosales; Rosaceae. The record is from RefSeq and is a predicted model, not a curated record.
GUGUAUGAAGAUGUGAAGUUGGGGUUUGGGUUUCUGUUUCUGAGUUGAAUUUUUGACUGUAUUCUUGUGUAUAUGAUUGAUUAAUCUUACUUCGGAGAUAUGAUUAAAAUCAUUAGCAAUUUGUGAAUAAAAAUUAACUUGGGCCCUUUGUGAAUUUGAACUACUACAAACCGUUCUAAUAUCUGUAAUUUGACGACACUUCAAAUCACAGUUACAUUCUUCUCUUGAAUAAGAUCUAUUUUGUUACUUUUAUAGUUCUGAUUUUAAUGCUUCUUCUCAAUGGAAACCCAAAUUGAAAACUCAAUUAAUUAUUGUGAUUUGUUUUGACAUCUUUUUAUUGUGAUCGAUGACAGUUCUGAUUAUAUUGUGCACAGAGUAAGUUUUCUAUCACUUUUCCUUUUGUUCUUCCUUUCUUAUUAUUGCUUAUGGCUUAUGCCCAUAAAGAUUUUAUUCUGAAGCACAUUCCUAAUAUUUUGUAAUUGAUUAUUGCAUUAGUUUGUUGCUAUUGGUUGAUCAUCAAGUUGCUGGAAGGUUCAAGGAUAACUACAUUGGGUGUCAUGCAACUCUCUUAACUACUUUUACAAUAGAUUACAAGCAGAGACCAUUGAAGUUUAUACUGAAUGGCUAAACAACCUUGGUAAAAAGCAAAGACCAUUGGGUCCUAAUGUUGUGAGAGUUUGGGUAGAUGCACGAAAAGUCCCAUCUGCAUCCCUUUGGAGACCAGCAUCUGAGUUGCAAAUCAUUGAAGAUGCUCUUGGUACUACAAUAGCAUAGAGCAUGGCCAGCAGACAAACUAAUUCUGCCUUAGAAUUAUGUCUUCAAGUUAGUGGAGGUUCCAGAGAAUAAUGAAAAGAGCAGAGUAAUGAGCCUGAAGGUGGUUAGUUGACUAUGUACCUCAGUUGGUUGUUACAUGCGUCCUACAAGUUUUAUCUUUAAGUAGGAGAGAUUUGCAAGGCUGAAUACUUUUCAGUUUUCAGUGAAGUACUAUAUGAGUUUGGUAGG